UUGAACGCUGGCGGCAUGCUUUACACAUGCAAGUCGAACGGUAACAGGCCGCAAGGUGCUGACGAGUGGCGAACGGGUGAGUAAUGCAUCGGAACGUGCCCAGUCGUGGGGGAUAACGCAGCGAAAGCUGUGCUAAUACCGCAUACGAUCUAUGGAUGAAAGCGGGGGACCGUAAGGCCUCGCGCGAUUGGAGCGGCCGAUGUCAGAUUAGGUAGUUGGUGGGGUAAAGGCCCACCAAGCCAACGAUCUGUAGCUGGUCUGAGAGGACGACCAGCCACACUGGAACUGAGACACGGUCCAGACUCCUACGGGAGGCAGCAGUGGGGAAUUUUGGACAAUGGGCGCAAGCCUGAUCCAGCAAUGCCGCGUGCAGGAAGAAGGCCUUCGGGUUGUAAACUGCUUUUGUACGGAGCGAAAAGGCUCUCUCUAAUACAGGGGGCUCAUGACGGUACCGUAAGAAUAAGCACCGGCUAACUACGU
Molecule: ribosomal RNA, 480 nt
Filed under: uncultured bacterium
Lineage: Bacteria
Description: bacterial SSU rRNA
Rfam family: Bacterial small subunit ribosomal RNA
Source: RNAcentral